RNAcentral lists this ribosomal RNA (254 nucleotides) under uncultured bacterium. RNAcentral describes it as "partial 16S ribosomal RNA". It matches the Rfam family "Bacterial small subunit ribosomal RNA", at positions 524 to 775 of the family's 1533-position model. The record is from RNAcentral.
UACAGAGGGUGCAAGCGUUGUUCGGAAUUAUUGGGCGUAAAGCGCGUGUAGGCGGCUUUUGCAAGUCGGGUGUGAAAGCCCUCAGCUCAACUGAGGAAGUGCGCCCGAAACUGCAGAGCUUGAGUACCGGAGAGGAUGGCGGAAUUCCCGAAGUAGAGGUGAAAAUUCGUAGAUAUCGGGAGGAACACCGGUGGCGAAGGCGGCCAUCUGGACGGAUACUGACGCUGAGACGCGAAAGCGUGGGGAGCAACAGG